This 494-nucleotide ribosomal RNA is filed under the name uncultured bacterium. RNAcentral's name for it is "partial 16S ribosomal RNA". It matches the Rfam family "Bacterial small subunit ribosomal RNA", at positions 28 to 507 of the family's 1533-position model. The record is from RNAcentral.
GACGAACGCUGGCGGCGCGCUUAACACAUGCAAGUCGAACGGAAAGGCCUGCUUUCCCUUGUGGAUUGCGGGUACUCGAGUGGCGAACGGGUGAGUAACACGUGAGUGAUCUGCCCCCAACUUGGGUAUAAGCCUGGGAAACUGGGUCUAAUUCCCGAUAGGACUGCAGGGUGGUGCCUGUGGUGGAAAACGUUUUUCUAGUGGUUGGGGAUGAGCUCGCGGCCUAUCAGCUUGUUGGUGGGGUAAUGGACUACCAAGGCGGGGACGGGUAGCCGGCCUGAGAGGCGGGACGGAAACAGUGGGGAUGGGAUUCGGCCCAGAAGCUUACGGAAGGCAGCAGUGGUGAAUAGCGAACAAUGGGCGGAAGCCUGAGGCAGGGACGACGGGUGGGGGAUGACGGCCUUCGGGUUGUAAACUCCUUUCGACCGAGAGGAAGCCACCUGGUUGGAAGGGUGGUGACGGUAGUGGUAGAAGAAGCACCGGCUAACUACGUG